Molecule: small RNA, 84 nt
Filed under: Drosophila guanche
Lineage: Eukaryota; Metazoa; Arthropoda; Insecta; Diptera; Drosophilidae
Source: RNAcentral
CUGCUGCUGCUGCUGCUGCUGCUGCACCUGCGGAUGCAACUGCUGAUGCAUAUGCUGCUGCUGCUGCUGCUGCUGCUGCUGCUG